Coccinella septempunctata (seven-spotted ladybird) is the source of this 583-nucleotide long non-coding RNA. RefSeq lists it as uncharacterized. The record is from RefSeq and is a predicted model, not a curated record. NCBI's taxonomy places the organism in Eukaryota, Metazoa, Arthropoda, Insecta, Coleoptera, Coccinellidae. The transcript is spliced from 2 exons.
CCUGUAACAAGUAUUAUGGUUAACUGUGGAAGUCGUGCAGAUCGGUACCAUAAGGAUUUUUUCGUAUACCUACUGUGACAAAAUCUGUGCAUUACCUACAUAUUAACGAAGAAGGGAUAUGUGGUUAGCAGCUCAAGAGAGAAGAUCUAACUGAAUCAAUUAUUAGGAACCAAGGAGUAUGUAGCAGACAUUUCAUAACGGUGUAACGAAGGAAGUGAUCUGGGUGAUACAGAGCAAGCAGGGCAAAGCAGAUUGAGAGGCUGUGCUAAACAAACAGACUUGACAAUGACCAUGUUAAGUACACAAGUUGAGCAGUUCAACUUUGCCACCAGAAAAAUAGAAGACUUAGAAAAGAAAGUUCAAAACACUCCUCGGUGACUAAUGGACAAUAUCAAUAAUGUAUUUUUGUGGAAGUAUUAUUGUGGGUUCGAUCAUAAAUUCAUCAAAGCAGCUAUUUUUCCAGAAAUAGAACCUCACAUUUCAUCAACAUCAACAACACUACUGAGUCCUAACAAUCAAAUGUUACUCACAUUAGUAAAAUUGACGUAUGUUUGAACAAUAAAAAUAUUUGAGAGAAACUCAA